GCUUCCGUGGUCCAAGGGAUGGGCAGUCGGCUUCUAUCCGACCUAUGUGGGUUCGAAUCCUGCCGGGAGCGCCA
RNAcentral lists this transfer RNA (74 nucleotides) under Pseudomonadota bacterium. Its description in RNAcentral is "tRNA-Arg". It matches the Rfam family "tRNA". Rfam says of the family: Transfer RNA (tRNA) molecules are approximately 80 nucleotides in length. Their secondary structure includes four short double-helical elements and three loops (D, anti-codon, and T loops). Further hydrogen bonds mediate the characteristic L-shaped molecular structure. tRNAs have two regions of fundamental functional importance: the anti-codon, which is responsible for specific mRNA codon recognition, and the 3' end, to which the tRNAs corresponding amino acid is attached (by aminoacyl-tRNA synthetases). tRNAs cope with the degeneracy of the genetic code in two manners: having more than one tRNA (with a specific anti-codon) for a particular amino acid; and 'wobble' base-pairing, i.e. permitting non-standard base-pairing at the 3rd anti-codon position. Lineage: Bacteria; Pseudomonadati; Pseudomonadota. The record is from RNAcentral.